GACAAGGUUCCGGUAGUGACCUGCGGAGGAUCAUUAUCGUACAAUGGGGGUACCCGGGUUGUCGCUGACUUUUUUGUCGUGCACGCCCGGAGUGCUCUCACAUACAAAUAUAUCCAUCUCCACCCCUUUGUGCAUCACCGCGUGGGUGUCCCCCCUUUCUUSGGAGGGGGGUGCUCACGUUUUUAACAUCAAACACCCUAGUGUAGAAUGUUCUUUGGCGCGAUCACGCGCGAAUCAAUACAACUUUCAACAACGGAUCUCUUGGCUCUCGCAUCGAUGAAGAACGCAGCGAAAUGCGAUACGUAAUGUGAAUUGCAGAAUUCAGUGAAUCAUCGAAUCUUUGAACGCACCUUGCGCCCCUUGGCAUUCCGAGGGGCACACCCGUUUGAGUGUCGUGAACAUCCUCAACCUGCUUCGUUCUAUCGAACCAAGUAGGCUUGGAAUUUGGAGGUUUUUCUGCUGGCUUCCUCUGUGAAGCCAGCUCCUCUUAAAUCUAUCAGUGGGAUCCGCUUUGCUAGAUCCUCGACGUUGAUAAGAUGUUUCUACGUCUUGGGUUUCGCUCGGGAAAGGACCUGCUUCUAACCGUCCCCCCCAUCGGGGACAAUGUUCGAGAGCCGAUCGCCCUUCACGGGGUGGGAAGCUUUUCGACCCAUGAAACCUUGACCUCAAAUCGGGUGAGACUACCCGCUGAACUUAAGCAUAUCAAUAAGCGGAGGAAAAGAAACUAACAAGGAUUCCCCUAGUAACUGCGAGUGAAGCGGGAAAAGCUCAAAUUUAAAAUCUGGUGGUCUUUUGCCCAUCCGAGUUGUAAUUAGAGAAGCGUCUUCCG
This 829-nucleotide ribosomal RNA is filed under the name uncultured Russulaceae. RNAcentral's name for it is "eukaryotic LSU rRNA". The stretch from base 242 to 395 matches the Rfam family "5.8S ribosomal RNA". The record is from RNAcentral. Lineage: Eukaryota; Fungi; Basidiomycota; Agaricomycetes; Russulales; Russulaceae.